UGGGGAAUUUUGGACAAUGGGCGAAAGCCUGAUCCAGCAAUGCCGCGUGCAGGAUGAAGGCCUUCGGGUUGUAAACUGCUUUUGUACGGAACGAAAAAGCUUCUCCUAAUACGAGAGGCCCAUGACGGUACCGUAAGAAUAAGCACCGGCUAACUACGUGCCAGCAGCCGCGGUAAUACGUAGGGUGCGAGCGUUAAUCGGAAUUACUGGGCGUAACGCGUGCGCAGGCGGUUAUGUAAGACAGAUGUGAAAUCCCCGGGCUCAACCUGGGAACUGCAUUUGUGACUGCAUGGCUAGAGUACGGUAGAGGGGGAUGGAAUUCCGCGUGUAGCAGUGAAAUGCGUAGAUAUGCGGAGGAACACCGAUGGCGAAGGCAAUCCCCUGGACCUGUACUGACGCUCAUGCACGAAAGCGUGGGGAGCAAACAGGAUUAGAUACCCUGGGUAGUCCACGCCCUAAACGACUGUCAACGUGGUUGUUGGGAAUUAGUUUCUCAGUAACGAAGCUAACGCGUGAAGUUUGACCGCCUGGGGAGUACGGCCGCAAGGUUGAAACUUAAAUGAAUUGACGGGGUCAUAGCUGUUUCCU
RNAcentral lists this ribosomal RNA (588 nucleotides) under uncultured bacterium. Its description in RNAcentral is "partial 16S ribosomal RNA". It matches the Rfam family "Bacterial small subunit ribosomal RNA", at positions 355 to 1375 of the family's 1533-position model. The record is from RNAcentral.